This is a long non-coding RNA of Aplysia californica (California sea hare), 304 nucleotides long. RefSeq lists it as uncharacterized. Lineage: Eukaryota; Metazoa; Mollusca; Gastropoda; Aplysiida; Aplysiidae. The record is from RefSeq and is a predicted model, not a curated record. The transcript is spliced from 2 exons.
UACUACGAUGGAGAACGUUCUCAAACAGAAAGACAUGCUGUUCGAAGACAAGUCUGGGCCCAUUAUGUACCGGAAAGGCAAAGUCGGGGACUGGAAAAAUCACUUCACGGUGGCUCAGAGCGAAUGGUUUGACCACAUCACUAGGAGCAGGAUGGGAAAAUCUAAGGUCUACACAUUUAAAUAUGACAUUUGAACUCUGAACCAUGAAGAGCAUUGUUUGUAUUUCUUGAUGAGGAUUCAUCGAAAACUCGGAUUCAACAAAAGGAGGUGGAUUCCCUGUUUCAUUUAUUCAUUCAAAUCAAUU